This 542-nucleotide ribosomal RNA is filed under the name uncultured bacterium. RNAcentral's name for it is "bacterial SSU rRNA". It matches the Rfam family "Bacterial small subunit ribosomal RNA", at positions 777 to 1319 of the family's 1533-position model. The record is from RNAcentral.
AAUAGAUACCCAGGUAGUCCAUGCCGUAAACGUUGGGAACUAGAUGUGGGGACCAUUCCACGGUCUCCGUGUCGCAGCUAACGCAUUAAGUUCCCCGCCUGGGGAGUACGGCCGCAAGGCUAAAACUCAAAGGAAUUGACGGGGGCCCGCACAAGCGGCGGAGCAUGCGGAUUAAUUCGAUGCAACGCGAAGAACCUUACCAAGGCUUGACAUAUACCGGAAACGUCUGGAAACAGUCGCCCCGCAAGGUCGGUAUACAGGUGGUGCAUGGUUGUCGUCAGCUCGUGUCGUGAGAUGUUGGGUUAAGUCCCGCAACGAGCGCAACCCUCGUUCUAUGUUGCCAGCACGUGAUGGUGGGGACUCAUAGGAGACUGCCGGGGUCAACUCGGAGGAAGGUGGGGAUGAGGUCAAAUCAUCAUGCCCCUUAUGUCUUGGGCUUCACGCAUGCUACAAUGGCCGGUACAAAGGGCAGCAAUACCGUGAGGUGGAGCGAAUCCCAAAAAGCCGGUCUCAGUUCGGAUUGAGGUCUGCAACUCGACCCC